Long non-coding RNA from Tyto alba (common barn owl), 3436 nucleotides. RefSeq lists it as uncharacterized. Lineage: Eukaryota; Metazoa; Chordata; Aves; Strigiformes; Tytonidae. The record is from RefSeq and is a predicted model, not a curated record. The transcript is spliced from 2 exons.
GCGCCCCCUCUGCGGAGGGCGGUUACACCGAGUUUACUCCGCCGGUGGUGCUCAUUUCCCAGCCCCCUGGAUCUAGCCAGUCGAAGCACAGACCCGCAGGCCAGCAAUUUCACAGCUGAGGCGAAGAAAUAAAACAGGUUCAUCCAGUAGAUGCCCACAGCAUAAGGCUGGGAACUGUGCUAUCGGUUUUUAAAGUCUUGUAUCGGAAUCUAGGACCCUACUGGUAGAUCUAAAAAAACAAACAAACAAACAAAAACCAAAACAAACAAAACAAAACAAAACCAAAAAACCCACAACCCCAAACCCCGACCACCUCCUCAGCCUGUAACAGUGCUUUUUUCUCUAAAAAAAAAGAGCCACUACGUGCCGAGCACUGUUGAUACCUGAAGAUUUUGCUCAGAUGCCAAAACUGAAGCUUAAAAUACAGUAAGAAAAGAUGCUCACCCAUAUACUGCUAAUGUUCCUGAACGUAUAAAUCUGGUGACGUAUUAAAAAAGCUUGAAACAGCCAGAGAUAAGUCACUUUUUUUUUUUUUUUUUUUUUUUUUUUUUUUUUUUUUGCAAUUAACAGAGGAAAAGCUCAUCCAAAAGGGCAAAUUUAUUUUAUUAAGAAUCCAUACCUCCUCAAUCCCAGCCAUGCCAACAUGGCAAUUUGACAAGCACUUGGUCAUACUAGAGAGCUAUCUAAAGAGGUGCCCAUAAAAUUCUCAUGUGUGAGCUUCUGGUAGUAGUUUGAAAACGCUACCGGAGACAAUCAUGGCCCACUCAAUCAUUAAAAUACCACACGCUAAAAAUGUUUAAAAAUACAACUGGCUUUUUACGAUUUGUAGGCAUGGCACUCAAUGAUCAGUUUUACUUGUUUCCCUGUCACACUGGGUAUGACAAAGCUACGCAGAUGCAUCUAUGAACUGGCUCCUGUAUUACUUACAUUAACGGCAGUUUUGUCUCCUGUUCCAGUGACAGCCUUUCUUUACACAGAGCAAGCCAGUACUGAUGGGAACAGUAUAUUCUACGUGAAGGACAACAUCGCAAGUAAACACUGGAUUUUAAUAUUAUUUCUAAAAAUCCAGAGAAAUCUGACAAUCGGACCUAGUUCCUGCCAGACUGAGAAGUCUCACAGUUAUGCCGGAGAAGUAUGGGGAGGAUAGUUUAUAAUAGCAUACUUCUUUCCUGCAUUUAUUACAUUUGUACCGUUCGCUCCCAGAAGUAUCUUGAUCAUAUGCCAAAUAUGGCACAAAAUUUUACAUCUGUUACCUUUUCUCCAGGCUCCACCCCGUGGUUUACAAAGGAGCAUGGGGGAAGCAACACACAGAGCUCAGCGGCGCUUGCAAGGUUACAGUGAAUUGUUAGGAGGUGGGGGACACUGCACCAGGGCUCCUGACUGCCACUCACCACGAAUCCUCGUGACUAAGCUUCCUCUGGUAAAACUGACUGCCCUCUAUUAAUCUGAUUUAGGCAACUGGGAAGCUAGCACUUUUUUUAAACUUACAGCUUCAGGAAUUUGUACAUUAACAGAUAUUAUUUUUUUUUUUUUUUUUGUAAACAAAAUGUUUGCUCUUACUAUUACAUUUUCCUUCUGCUCUCUUCGACAGAUCUACAAGAUGAAAGAAUAACAACUGUUUAGGGGAUGAAUUAAAUUUAUGGAACAACCAACUUUAAAAAACAUAUUCAUGACCUCUCAUUUUAAUCUUUUUACAGCAUUCACUACAAAAUUAUAUUACAAAUGUGUAUCAUUUAAAGUUGACUCUGCUGCCUAUUUAAAUGCAUGUUAGAUUUUAGUGACUAUAAUGUUCUACAUUUUCUUGGAAACUUGUAAAAGAAUCAAGACUGUUUAAAAAAAAAGUAAAAAAUUGAAAUUUAAUGUUGUUUUACCUAAACUGUUAGAGAACCUGUAAGGAAAUGUUAAUCAGAUGUGAAUACCAAAGUCACCUGUGACUCAGGAUGCUCCAUAAAUAGAACACAUACUGAUGUUAUAUUUCAGCAGAUGCAAAUCAUCUCCAUUUUUUAUUAUGCUAUGUCAAAGAGUCAUGCCAAGAUUUUUCACUUUUUGCAGGACUUUGCUGCUUGCCCUUUUAAAGGAGAAAUCAAGAACCCAUGCUUGUGCUAUCUUUAAUUCUAGAUUAAAUACAGUAUCUUAUUUUAAUGAGAACUUCACCUUCUGAAGAAAGGUCAUCUGAAAAGAUUCAAGUACUCUACUGUUUUCAAUUAGCAACUUGCUCAUAAGAAAAUUCAUUCUGAGCCUUCCAGCAGAUUCCUUCAACAAAACCAGGGAAGAUAAUGACAUUUCUGAGGAAAAAAAAACUUCGGAUGUAGGAAAAAAGUAACAAUCAUGAGGAGAGAAACACCCACUUAGAAUAUUAGAAGAAUGUUUGCAGGCCAUAUUUAGAGCAGGUUAAUCUUUAUGCUCUAGGAAAUAAUAGCAUCCUUCUGUAUAUUACUGCAUAUUUCAAAGUAUGCAACUAUUUAAUCUGUUAAAAGCUAAGUAGCAUUUUUCCAUCAGUAUAAAGCUAUUAAUUGUUUCCUUCUUCAAAAAUGGCAGUUGCAAUAGAUAAUCCAAUCAAAAGCAGCAGCCUAUGUCUCACUUUAAACAACUGGGACGUCCGUGUUGCCACGGGACACAGCCACUGCAUUAUUCCAGUUUGCUGAGGUACUGAUAGCAAUCCGACCAACCUGACACAGCUCAACAGCCAUCCAUUUACCUGCUUCUCAGCUUCAGAAGUAACUUCAGGGCAGACAUAACCCAUCUGAUUAUUAUAAGCAGCUUUGCUAAGACCAUCUCUUCACACUGACUUCACUGCUCCCCUAUUUGACAAAUGCAUUAUAUAUCCUUUUUACUCUCAACUUAAAGAUCACCUGCAAGCUCAGGCUCAUUUGCGAAUGAGAAGGCCUGAGUACCUGUUAAAGCCUUUGGAACAAUUUUCUUCUAUUAAGAAGACACAGGAGUACCAGUAUGUACUUUGAUAGUUUGUUUUCAUUAGUAUAAUUACAAUACAUUCUGGACAGUUACAAAAUCCAGGGAAAUCACGUUUGCUCCAUAAAUUUCUAUUGCAAACCUCAAACAUGAGUGUGCCUUUCCAUUACUUCUGCACACUUUUCCUAUAAUCUUAGUAAGGACAUCCAGUACAGCAACCUUUUUUUGUUUGUUUCAGCAGCUUUUAGUUCCGCUUUGUGCCUCAGGCUUUGAUGUCCACCUUGAAUACUGGUUUAGCUGCUCAAUUAAAAGCCUGCAGCUAGUCUCUCUCACGUUACAGCAAUUCAACAGACAUUUCUAGUGGGACAGUUUAGAAAAGGUAUAUAUGCAAAAUGAUUUCUGGGUCACUUAGGGCAUUAGCAUUUAGUGUACCUCUGAAGUCAAAUCCUGCUCUAGAUCAGAAGGAAUCACAAUGAAGUCUGUCAAGUAUUUAAGCUUUGAAUUUAGGAGGAGAAUUUGCCUCCAC